Molecule: transfer RNA, 68 nt
Filed under: Eremitalpa granti (Grant's golden mole)
Lineage: Eukaryota; Metazoa; Chordata; Mammalia; Afrosoricida; Chrysochloridae
Description: transfer RNA-Cys
Source: RNAcentral
AGUCUUGAAGUGUUUAUCACACCGAAUUGCAAAUUCGGGGAAGUAGCAGCAGGCAGCUACCAGGACUU